RNAcentral lists this transfer RNA (79 nucleotides) under Letharia columbiana. RNAcentral's name for it is "tRNA-Leu". The record is from RNAcentral. Lineage: Eukaryota; Fungi; Ascomycota; Lecanoromycetes; Lecanorales; Parmeliaceae.
GUUUGGCCGAGUGGUUUAAGGCGGUAGAUUUAAGCUCUACUAUCGAAAGAUGCGUGAGUUCGAACGUCAGUAGUGAACA